RNAcentral lists this ribosomal RNA (207 nucleotides) under uncultured bacterium. Its description in RNAcentral is "partial 16S ribosomal RNA". It matches the Rfam family "Bacterial small subunit ribosomal RNA", at positions 568 to 774 of the family's 1533-position model. The record is from RNAcentral.
GGCGUAGGCGGUGCUCUAAGUCUGUUGUGAAAUCUCCCGGCUCAACCGGGAGGGUGCGGCGGAAACUGGAGUGCUCGAGUGUGGGAGAGGUAAGCGGAAUUCCUGGUGUAGCGGUGAAAUGCGUAGAUAUCAGGAGGAACACCUGUGGUGUAGACAGCUUACUGGACCAUGACUGACGCUGAGGCACGAAAGCGUGGGUAGCAAACA